CGUGGCAUUUCAAGCUACACAAAGAGAUGUAACUUUCAUCUUUAUUAUUCUGAUUAGGGAUAAAGUAACUCAGCGUGAAAUGAACAGUGGUGUCACGAGCGAGAACACUACCUACAAUCACGACAUCAACACAAAAAUGACAGCACAACAUGUAACAGUGCACAGCUGGUCCUGCAGAGGCGGAGCCUCCGGUGCAUACCUGCAAGUAAUUACUCACCUGGUCUCGUUAAGCAUGGCAGAAGAACUCAUUCGGUGCCAGAUUGUACCUCAGACUUCACCCGCUCUACCCUGCUUGGUGUUGUUGCUUGUUUCGUGAAGUUUCGUGAAGCAUUGCCUGUACUGUGAGUAAUACUUGCUUGGUUUUUCCAGCAGAGGCGUGUUUUUUUGUACUUCAGCAUUGUCUAUCUCCCUGCUUGGUUUGUCCAGCAGCAUCCUUCCUUCCAAUUCUGUGUUAGUGUUUUUUCCUGCCAGACCUUUUUACCUGGCAGCAUUUUGUGUGUGGCUUAGCCCAGUACGUACAUUUGGACUUUAUUUACCAUUAUAAAGUAUUCUUUUGUACUGUAUGUAUUUUUACUCCAUUGGAGAACCUUUUUGUUCUUCAUCGGAUUGUGUCUCUUUGCAUUUGGGAUUCAAACUCUGGCUUACGCCGUUUUGUGACAGAAACAAUGGUAGUUAAAUGAGUGUUUUAUUGCUGGAUUUGAUCAAAGUGUGUAGCUGUCACUUUUAUUGCGGAGGAGAAGGGGUUCAACGAGUCGUGUACACACAUAGGAACUAAUGUACUAAAAGUUGCUCUUCAGUCUGCGUCGCCGUGAAGUGAGGUCAGAUUUUUUUGGGAGAUGCACAUCAAGCUACACAGGAGGGUUUGGACUGGGAGGAAUGAGCUGCAGUAGCGUACCCCUGCACCUUGACACAGCAACACAAUCCAUGCUUCAUACAAUCGUACCAGUCGUACCUGCUGUCUUUAAUUUGAAAUGAAUCCAGAUACGUCCCUUGCCUUACUAAAACGGUGCUUAUUUUGGCCAUCUUUUUUUUUUUCGCAAAAUGGGCCUCUUCUGUCCAGGGUUUAAGAGGUUAAGAUUUCUAG
Molecule: long non-coding RNA, 1084 nt
Organism: Dunckerocampus dactyliophorus (ringed pipefish)
Lineage: Eukaryota; Metazoa; Chordata; Actinopteri; Syngnathiformes; Syngnathidae
Exons: 3
Source: RefSeq, a predicted model, not a curated record